GAUGAACGCUAGCUACAGGCUUAACACAUGCAAGUCGAGGGGAAACGACAUCGAAAGCUUGCUUUUGAUGGGCGUCGACCGGCGCACGGGUGAGUAACGCGUAUCCAACCUGCCCAUCACUUGGGAAUAACCUUGCGAAAGUAAGACUAAUACCCAAUGACAUCCCACGAAGACAUCUGAAUGGGAUUAAAGAUUUAUCGGUGAUGGAUGGGGAUGCGUCUGAUUAGCUUGUUGGCGGGGUAACGGCCCACCAAGGCAACGAUCAGUAGGGGUUCUGAGAGGAAGGUCCCCCACAUUGGAACUGAGACACGGUCCAAACUCCUACGGGAGGCAGCAGUGAGGAAUAGUGGUCAAUGGGCGAGAGCCUGAACCAGCCAAGUAGCGUGCAGGAUGACGGCCCUAUGGGUUGUAAACUGCUUUUAUAAGGGAAUAAAGUGGGUCUCGUGAGACUUUUUGCAUGUACCUUAUGAAUAAGGACCGGCUAAUUCCGUG
RNAcentral lists this ribosomal RNA (492 nucleotides) under uncultured bacterium. RNAcentral's name for it is "partial 16S ribosomal RNA". It matches the Rfam family "Bacterial small subunit ribosomal RNA", at positions 28 to 507 of the family's 1533-position model. The record is from RNAcentral.